RNAcentral lists this long non-coding RNA (1181 nucleotides) under Anser cygnoides (Swan goose). Its description in RNAcentral is "lncRNA (ENSACDG00005017644.1)". Lineage: Eukaryota; Metazoa; Chordata; Aves; Anseriformes; Anatidae. The record is from RNAcentral.
GGCAGAGGGGUUGGAACUGGGUGAUCCUUAAGGUUCUUUCCAACCCAAAUCCAAAUUCUAUGAUUCUAUGAAACUGAGUCCUAUUUAUGCAAGAAAAGUGUGGCUGCAGAUUUUAGCUGGGGGAUGCAUUUUCUGAAUAAAGGCCCUCAAAACAUCAUGUCAUAGGGUCUAAAUAUAUCUCAAAUAUAGCUUCCACUGAGAAGUUACUGCAGACCAUGUGUGAAGCAUGUGCAUGUUUAACACCAGCGGUGUUGUCUAGGAGAGGCUUCAUGUGUAACACAGAAAGGUGAGAAGGAUGAGUUGAAAACAGCAAAACCUGUAAUCAAUAUUAGACCUUCAUCUGAACCCCUUUUAAGCCCUUCUGGUAUAGUAUCCCUUCUUCAUCUUUCUUAACUUCCCUUCCAAAAGAUAUCUAUCAAUACUGCUUCUCCAGAUUUAAUGAUCUCACAGUGCUCUUAAUGAGUCUGGCAUCCCAGUAGCAUCAGACUCUUCGUUUUCCUCAAAUUUGUAUAGUGAGAAUCCAGCUACACAAGUAGUGUGAUUUUCUCAACGUUCAGUAUAUUUUGCAUAGCCAUGGCACCUGUCAUGGAUUGGGUUCAGGAUGUUUUUAUUUUUUCAGGCACAUUUAUUAGAAGAAACUAUGGACUUUGGUUCCAGCUGGGGGGCUGGUUUACUGUGAACAUGGGGCCCAUUAUCCAAUGUGUGGAUCAACUGGACAUUGACUUGGUACCUGACCCCAGGCAGUAUGGCUCUUCCCUGACCUCUGACUCUGGCCCAUCCUUCCACUCCCCCUCCACUCUUUCUGUCCAGUUUACAAGACAGCUUUACAGCAGAAAACCAUGAGCAAAACCUGACAGCUGCAGCCUUCCUCUGUACAGGAAAAUUCCAAUUCAUUCCAAGUACUGGUCAGUUUAUUUAACUUGUUAAAGGCAUAUUAAAGUAUGGAUUUUCUUCAACAUGUUGUCCCACUGCAUAUCAUAUGAAACCACAGAAAUAAGCUCACUUGCCUGAACAUAUGAUAGCAGCAAAGGUUUGUGCUCUCAGAGAUUUUAAUUCCAGAUAUAUGCAUUGCAUUGAAGACAAACAUGAUUCUCUGAAAAUCUAGAAAAAUAGAUCAGAAUCUGGCUGGUUUUGGAAAUCCCAAGCAAAUAAAUUGUACUCGGUCAAUAUUAAAAUAAUCA